Molecule: ribosomal RNA, 460 nt
Filed under: uncultured bacterium
Lineage: Bacteria
Description: bacterial SSU rRNA
Rfam family: Bacterial small subunit ribosomal RNA
Source: RNAcentral
AGUGAACGUUGGCGGCGUGGAUUAGGCAUGCAAGUCGAGCGAUCGUAGCAAUACGGGAGCGGCAAACGGGGGUAGGAAUACAUCGGAACGUACCUUUUGGUUGAGAAUAGCGUUGGGAAACUGACGGUAAUACUCAAUAAAGUCGAGAGACCAAAGGUUUACUGCCGGAAGAGCGGCCGAUGCGAUAUUAGGUAGUUGGUGGGGUAAUGGCCUACCAAGCCUGAGAUGUCUAGGGGGUGUGAGAGCAUGGCCCCCACCACUGGGACUGAGAUACUGCCCAGACACCUACGGGUGGCUGCAGUCGAGGAUCUUCGUCAAUGGGCAAAAGCCUGAACGAGCGACGCCGCGUGCGGGAUGAAGGCCCUUGGGUUGUAAACCGCUGUCAGGGGGGAUGAAACCGUAAGGUUGACAGAGCCCCAGAGGAAGCACGGGCUAAGUUCGUGCCAGCAGCCGCGGUAAU